This 459-nucleotide ribosomal RNA is filed under the name uncultured bacterium. Its description in RNAcentral is "partial 16S ribosomal RNA". It matches the Rfam family "Bacterial small subunit ribosomal RNA", at positions 338 to 795 of the family's 1533-position model. The record is from RNAcentral.
CCUACGGGAGGCAGCAGUGAGGAAUAUUGGUCAAUGGGCGGAAGCCUGAACCAGCCAAGUAGCGUGAGGGAUGAAGGCCCUACGGGUCGUAAACCGCUGUUGCACGGGGGUAACACCCUCCACUUGUGGAGGUCUGCAGGUAUCGUGCGAAUAAGGGCAGGCUAAUUCCGUGCCAGCAGCCGCGGUAAUACGGAAGGCCCGAGCGUUAUCCGGAUUUAUUGGGCUUAAAGGGAGCGUCGGCGGGCGUUCAAGUCAGCGGUAAAAUCGCGCGGCGCAACCGCGCCCCGCCGUUGAAACUGGACGCCUUGAGUUCACGACAGGCAGGCGGAAUUCGUGGUGUAGCGGUGAAAUGCAUAGAUAUCACGAGGAACCCCGAUUGCGAAGGCAGCCUGCCGGGGUGCGACUGACGCUGAGGCUCGAAAGUGCGGGUAUCAAACAGGAUUAGAUACCCUGGUAGUC